AUGGAUUUCGUGGAGGGGUUGCCGAAGUCUGAAGGCGCCGACGCAAUCAUGGUCGUCGUCGAUCGGCUGACCAAGUACGCGCACUUCGUGCCGCUUCAUCAUCCCUUCACCGCCGUUCAGGUCGCACGCGCCUUCUGGGAGCACAUCAUCAAGCUCCACGGCAUUCCCCAUUCAAUCGUCUCCGACCGUGACAAGAUCUUCACAAGCAUGAUGUGGCGCGAAUUGCUCGCCGCCGCGGGAACCAAGCUACUCUACUCCAUUGCGUACCACCCCUAG
Molecule: ribosomal RNA, 276 nt
Filed under: Triticum aestivum (bread wheat)
Lineage: Eukaryota; Viridiplantae; Streptophyta; Magnoliopsida; Poales; Poaceae
Description: partial small subunit ribosomal RNA
Source: RNAcentral